UGUUAUCCGCCGUUUCCACUUUCUUUAAUGUUAGUCUGCAAAUAUCUCCUCUCAUCUCUUUGCCUCCCCUAUCUAUAUUGUUCAACGUAUUUCUAUCUUUCAAAAAAGUAUUUGUUUUAAUUCGCUGAUAAUUUCUAUCCACAUUAAAUCCAGUAACUAUGUCAAGCUUUGCCUUUCCUUCAUGUCAAUCUAUAUAUAGAAGAGGGUUGAGAGCAGGAUGGAUCUUCAGAACCACUCCACAACCUCCGUUCCCAACCUCUACCCUCUCUUUGCCACCUCUUCUGGCGUCCGGAUGCCGUCCCGGAAUCCACUGCUCUGUUUCGGCCGGCGGAACCACAAAACGAUCCGUGGAGAAUGUCCCUGGCAGAUCAUGGAGCUGCGAGAUAGAUUCAGUCGAGAACGCCAUCUUCAGAGAUGGCUCUCCGAUUCAGGCCUCCCGCUGCAAAAAUGGCUAUCGACAGAGUCGACAUCGGAGAAAGAAAAAUUCUUAUCUUUAACUCUAUAGGUUCGUAAUGAGAAGGAAUCUUUGGUGAGCAAUUUGGAGAGUCAAGCGAGACUAAUUAACAGCGAAGAGACGCAGCAAAAUAUGCUCUUCUCUUCUAAAGAAUAUGUUGAGCAGUUUGAAAAGGAAAACAUGCCACUGAUGAAAGCUCUAGCACACAUAAAUAAAAUUAUUGAGCUUAGCAGGGUUGAGUUUCAGAAACUAAGGAUCAACUUACGGAAUGUGCAGGAAAAGAAUUUGCAGCUUGCGCGGAGCUAAAAUCAAACAGAGACAGGGUAUGCUUUUCUGGAAUUGAAGUUGCUCAAAACGAAGCUUUCCUAUUUCAUUAUAUUACAAUUUCCUUGACCAACUGACAUAAUGUACGUUUUUAGCUCAAACUACUUCAGCAUGAACUUGGCUGCAAGAAUGUAUUACUUGAACCCAGGGCGCUUCCUCUUUGGCGCUUGCCACUGGACCACCAUGAAGUGGUUGCACUUUAGUUGUCUCUUUGAUAUGCUGUAAACUAUUUCUUAUUGGUGUAAGAAUUACAAUGACUUCUUUACUUCUUUACCAAUA
This is an RNA transcript of Raphanus sativus (radish), 1057 nucleotides long. It is a transcript of the gene named SHUGOSHIN 2-like, with no coding region annotated. The transcript has 5 exons. The record is from RefSeq and is a predicted model, not a curated record. NCBI's taxonomy places the organism in Eukaryota, Viridiplantae, Streptophyta, Magnoliopsida, Brassicales, Brassicaceae.